This 2212-nucleotide long non-coding RNA is filed under the name Homo sapiens (human). Its description in RNAcentral is "non-protein coding lnc-EZR-3:1". The record is from RNAcentral. Lineage: Eukaryota; Metazoa; Chordata; Mammalia; Primates; Hominidae.
GCGUGGACAGGGUGUGGUUGGUCUCUGGAGCAGGCUUCACCUAGCUCUUGGUCAUCUCUUUGCCCCAGUGUCCCUGUCUUUAGUAGGGACAGGAACAGUACCAACUUCAUAGGGCUGUCUUAAGGAUUACAAAGGCUAAAUACCUCUGAAGGGCAUUACGCUGAGAACAAUGCCAGGCAUCUGGUUAACCCCAAGUCAGUGUUAGCCUCUGAGUGGUUUCCUGUGACUCAAGCAAGUAAGAUAAUUACUCAUGCUUCCACACGCCCCUUCCUGAACCCUCUUUCUUCAGCGGUCCUCAUUUGUCCUUCUUAUGGGAACAUAGAGUUUAGAAUUCAGAGUCAAAUCCCAGGUCUGCUCCUGGCUCCAUCUCUCAUUCACUAUGUGACAUUAGGCACGUUGGUCAACCUCUCACUAAAACUCAGGCUUUUUUUUUUUUUUUUUUUGAGACAAAGUUUCACUCUUGUCACCCAGGCUGGAGCGUAUAACAGUACGAUCCCGGCUUACUGCAAUCUCUGCCUCCUAGGUUCAAGCAAAGAUUCUCCUGCCUCGGCCUCCUGAGUAGUUGGGAUUACAGGCACCCGCCAUGAGCCUGGCUAAUUUGUGUAUUUUUAGUAGAGACGGGGUUUUACCAUGUUGGCUAGGCUGCUCUCGAACGCCUGAACUCAGGUGAUCCACCCACUUCAGCCUCCCAGAGUGCUGGGAUUACAGGCAUGAGCCAUGGUGCCCGGCCAAUUUUUAAAAUUUUUAAUUUAUUAUUAUUUGAGACAGGGUUUCACUCUGUCACCCAGGCUGGAGUGCAGUGGUGCAACCAUGGCUCACUGCAGCCUUGACCUCCUGGGCUCAAGCGAUCCUCCCACCUCAGUCUCCCUAGUAGCUGGGAUUAUAGACAUGUGACACCACACCCGGCUAAUAUUUGUAUUUUUGUAGAGACAGGGUUUUCUCAUGUUGCCCAGGCUGGUCUCCAACUCCUUGGCUCAAGCAAUCUGCCCACCUCGGCUUCCCAAAGUGCUGGGAUUACCGGCAUGAGCCACCAGGCUCGGCCGAUCUUUAUCAUGGGAGUAACAAUGUCUACCACGGUAUUUUUGUGAGAAUUAAAUGUGAUGAAGUAGGUAAGAAGCAAUGCUGCCACCACGUGUGGCACACAGGGCUUCAUAUGGUUGCUAACCCUCCCCUCCACCUGUUUCACUAGAAGGAGUGAUCCCCGGAGGGAGUUCGGAGGGAGCUUCUGUAGACCCCGGGAAGCUGACAGGAGCUGACACUUGUGUUAUAGAAUUUCAAACACCUGCCAAAUACAUUUCAAACUGUCUAGACACCUCGCUCCUGAAGUGUGGUCUGAGAACUUCACAGCAUAGACUUCGCCAGAUCCCAGGAGUUCACCAAAAAUGCAUCUGCGGUUCCUCAUCUCACGUCCACCCCGCAGCUACUGAUUUGGAAUCUGCAUUUUAAGAGCCCCAGUGACCCCCUAUACUCAUAAGAGCUGGGAAUCACUGCCUCAGAGUUCAGUCCUCUUUUGGCUAUACAACCUUUGGCAGGUGACUUAAUCUAAACCUCCAUUUCUUUACAUGUAAAAUGAGGCUGCAUGCAAUACCUACCCUAGAUGGUGGUUAUGAAGAUAAAAUGAGAUAGCCUAGUUAAGCUAUUAGUACAGAGUCCAGCACAUCAUAGUCAAUGCUGGCAAUUUAGAUAAAAUAUUUAGAUGACUUAGAUAGCAAAUCAAGAUACUACAUUAUCUCAUUAGAUGUUUACAAAACCUUGUGCUGUGCGCAGAACAGGUAUUAUCAUCUUCAUUUUACAGAGGGGCGCACUGGGCUGGAGCGGGAGGCAGGACGUGAACUCUCAAGAGGCUGUGUGCAAGUUCCAGCAGGAGAGGGGGGCUGACCUCACACCCUCGCCUAAAGGACAGUCUGUCUGGGGACAGCCUGAGUGGAGUCCACAGCAGCAGAGAAGGGACACCAGUUCUGUCCAGCCUACCAGGGCAGUCACAUCAACACUGCAAGCAACAGCUGGUGGCACCUGCCCAGCCAAGGCACCUCAGCUGAACUAGAAUGCGGGCUUUCCCAUUCUAAGGUUGGCUCUCUCUCAUACCCGAAGCGUUCACUCCAGGCUGGGUUAGUCCUGGUGGGAAGGUGGAAUAAUUAUUUCCCUAGAAGCCUUUACUAAGGGAGCUCUCACUUGUGGUGUGGACAGCGGGGGAAGAGCGCCCCCACAGGCU